AUUGAACGCUGGCGGCAUGCCUUACACAUGCAAGUCGAACGGUAACAGGUUAAGCUGACGAGUGGCGAACGGGUGAGUAAUAUAUCGGAACGUGCCCAGUCGUGGGGGAUAACGUAGCGAAAGCUACGCUAAUACCGCAUACGAUCUACGGAUGAAAGCGGGGGAUCGCAAGACCUCGCGCGAUUGGAGCGGCCGAUAUCAGAUUAGGUUGUUGGUGAGGUAAAAGCUCACCAAGCCUGCGAUCUGUAGCUGGUCUGAGAGGACGACCAGCCACGCUGGGACUGAGACACGGUCCAGACUCCUACGGGAGGCAGCAGUGGGGAAUUUUGGACAAUGGACGCAAGUCUGAUCCAGCAAUGCCGCGUGCAGGACGAAGGCCUUCGGGUUGUAAACUGUUUUUGUACGGAACGAAACGGUGAGCUCUAAUACAGUUUGCUAAUGACGGUACCGUAAGAAUAAGCACCGGCUAACUACGUGCCAGCCGCCGCAGUAA
RNAcentral lists this ribosomal RNA (493 nucleotides) under uncultured bacterium. RNAcentral's name for it is "partial 16S ribosomal RNA". It matches the Rfam family "Bacterial small subunit ribosomal RNA", at positions 30 to 523 of the family's 1533-position model. The record is from RNAcentral.